CCGCAGCCGCAUUGACGCCCAGUAGCGCAUCCGACAGCAUCGGUGCGCCUGCAGAGCAGGACCCGGGCUCAGCCGCAUGCCGACACCCACGGGCAGAUUGCAGGCACGCACCCAGAACGCACCGGCACCCACGGGCGAUGCUGCACGGACACCGCGGCCAGACCCGUGCGCCCUCCCCGACGCUCCCCUCCCGCAGGGCGGGCAGGGGACUGCUUACACUAACUCUGUGCUUGUGGAGCUGUAUCAGCCUGGCACCUAGAGCAUCUUAUGCACAGAGAUGGAUUUAUUCUCAGGAAAAGUAAAAGACAGAACUUGAAGUACCCAUGACGUGUAUUGAUGUAGCCUCCCUUACAGGCCUGGAUAGAGAGAACAGAGAUACCACAGAGCUUUUAAUGAUAAUGGCAGAGAGAAAUAUUUACACAUCUUCUCAAAGGCAACAUGUACAGGAAUCUGCAAGUCCUCAUGCCAGCAAACUACCAACAAUACCAGAUGGCAGAUGAUUUCUUUAAUGCUUUCCUUUCCACCAUCAGUCAUUCCCUGUUGCAUUAUACACAUAUGUUGAGUCUCAUCCAAAAUCCAUUGAAGGAUUUAAAUACGUUUGGGCAUUGUUUGUAGCAAAAUUUAUUUUCACCCCAAGUAUUCUUAUUCAUACCUCCCCAGAAGGGAAGUUCCAGUCCAGCAGAGGACUUUGUCCUUGGGACACAGUGCUGCUGGAGCACCAAGUGACACUGGGACAGUGGCUUUGACAGGCAAGGUCCUGUAUGUUUGCAGCCACAGCAGAAGUGGGUUUGUUAGCUUGGGCUUCAAGUGGGCAAGAAGAAACCAGUGCCCUCAUAAAAUGAUCUCUGCAUUCUACAUGCUGUGAAAGAAUGUAAUUUUUCUGAGAAAUUUUCUAGAUGGUUUCCAACCUCAGGUUUAAAAGGUUAACAUGAGUUAACAAAUUACAUAAACAGUUAAUUGUAUUCAAUUCCUUUCUUCAAGAGCUAAACACAGAAGAGUUUCUGUUUAUCUGAAAAGUAGAGACAGCAUUUUAUCAACCAUUGACAUGUCUGCUCUUUGAAAUAUGACAUCUAUCAAGCCGAGUCAAGCUACACCCCAGCAAGAACAAUUCUUAUUUGUUCCAUUCUGGCUUCUGGGCCAGGAAGAACUUGAGGAAGAUACUUUUUCAACUAGUUCCACCAUUUGUUCCUUCAGGCUACUUCCCCAUUGACUCCAGAAACCUGAAAAUAGCUGAUGACAUCUGCUCAAGGUCCCUCCUGGGAUGAGGACUAGAGCAGUAGCUGGGGUGUCAUUCAGACAGCCUUUCUUAUGCCAGUUUCAUGUUUCCAAAGCAAGAGAAGAGAGAAAGCCAAAAGAACAAUCUCAAGGUAGUCUAUAA
This is a long non-coding RNA of Vidua chalybeata, 1378 nucleotides long. RefSeq lists it as uncharacterized. The record is from RefSeq and is a predicted model, not a curated record. The transcript has 3 exons. NCBI's taxonomy places the organism in Eukaryota, Metazoa, Chordata, Aves, Passeriformes, Viduidae.